Cynocephalus volans (Philippine flying lemur) is the source of this 103-nucleotide small nucleolar RNA. RefSeq annotates it as small nucleolar RNA U13. Lineage: Eukaryota; Metazoa; Chordata; Mammalia; Dermoptera; Cynocephalidae. The transcript has a single exon. The record is from RefSeq and is a predicted model, not a curated record.
AUGUGCCUAGUACUUACGCGUGACAAUUAGGUUUUCAUGCUCUUGUGUGAGAUGUGCCUCCCUCUAAACCUUGUUAUGACAUGGGCAUAUUACCCAUCUGACA